ACGCUAGCGGCAGGCCUUAUACAUGCAAGUCGAACGGUAACAUUGGUGCUUGCACCAGAUGACGAGUGGCGCACGGGUGCGUAACGCGUAUGCAACCUACCUUUUACUAGAGUAUAGCCCAGAGAAAUUUGGAUUAAUCCUCUAUAACAUCUUUAAAUUUCAUGAUUUUUAGAUUAAAGUUUUAAUGGUAAAAGAUGGGCAUGCGUCCUAUUAGUUUGUAGGUGAGGUAACGGCUCACCUAGACUACGAUAGGUAGGGGCCCUGAGAGGGGGAUCCCCCACACUGGUACUGAGACACGGACCAGACUCCUACGGGAGGCAGCAGUAAGGAAUAUUGGACAAUGGACGAAAGUCUGAUCCAGCCAUGCCGCGUGCAGGAUGAAAGCCCUAUGGGUUGUAAACUGCUUUUAUACAGGAAGAAAAACUCCGACGUGUCGGAGCUUGACGGUACGUAAGAAUAAGGAUCGGCUAAC
Molecule: ribosomal RNA, 472 nt
Filed under: uncultured Flavobacteriaceae bacterium
Lineage: Bacteria; Pseudomonadati; Bacteroidota; Flavobacteriia; Flavobacteriales; Flavobacteriaceae
Description: bacterial SSU rRNA
Rfam family: Bacterial small subunit ribosomal RNA
Source: RNAcentral